Molecule: non-coding RNA, 306 nt
Organism: Kogia breviceps (pygmy sperm whale)
Lineage: Eukaryota; Metazoa; Chordata; Mammalia; Artiodactyla; Physeteridae
Source: RefSeq, a predicted model, not a curated record
UGAAACCUGAUACUGCAAAUUUCACAGCCUCUUCUAGGUUCCUGAGGAGGCCUGGCUGAGCUCCGUGUCUAACGGGCCUCCAGCCUACACGCAGCCUGCCCUCCUGCCCUGGAGACUCCAGCUCCUGCUGUGACCCUAAGCCGGCCCUACCCGCUCUGGGCGAGUCGUCUCCCAUCUGUGUGUGUGAGAGCUUCUCUGACUGUCCUGAGUAGUAGGCCCUCUGCCCCCGUGAACCACAGCAGUGACACAGAAGGAUUCUGAAAGAAAACCAAUAAAAUGCAACUAAGCCAUCAAAAAAAAAAAAAA